This is a long non-coding RNA of Thalassophryne amazonica, 307 nucleotides long. RefSeq lists it as uncharacterized. NCBI's taxonomy places the organism in Eukaryota, Metazoa, Chordata, Actinopteri, Batrachoidiformes, Batrachoididae. The record is from RefSeq and is a predicted model, not a curated record. The transcript is spliced from 3 exons.
GAUCAUCAAAAGACAUCUAGCACCAAAGGUAUCUAGUUGUCAUCUUAGGUCACUAAUUACUGUCCAAGUGUCACAACCAUACAGUAAGACAGAAAGCACCCAAAAGACCUCACAGCUCCAUAAGUGCUUCCCAGGAGUCUCUCAAACUCAAAUGCCAAAGACCCAGAGAUAUGAAUGUCAUCUCUGAGAUAAACAAAUCACUCUACAAGUUCAGUACUUCCACUGCAAACACAUACACUUCUGAUGGCCAAGUCUGGGAAGUCACUGAAUGCCUGAAUUUUAGUUGAUUCUGGACACUGACAAACCA